GAUGAACGCUGGCGGCGUGCCUAAUACAUGCAAGUCGAGCGAACGGACGAGAAGCUUGCUUCUCUGAUGUUAGCGGCGGACGGGUGAGUAACACGUGGAUAACCUACCUAUAAGACUGGGAUAACUUCGGGAAACCGUAGCUAAUACCGGAUAAUAUUUUGAACCGCAUGGUUCAAAAGUGAAAGACGGUCUUGCUGUCACUUAUAGAUGGAUCCGCGCUGCAUUAGAUAGUUGGUAAGGUAACGGCUUACCAAGGCAACGAUGCAUAGCCGACCUGAGAGGGUGAUCGGCCACACUGGAACUGAGACGCGGUCCAGACUCCUACGGGAGGCAGCAGUAGGGAAUCUUCCGCAAUGGGCGAAAGCCUGACGGAGCAACGCCGCGUGAGUGAUGAAGGUCUUCGGAUCGUAAAACUCUGUUAUUAGGGAAGAACAUAUGUGUAAGUAACUGUGCACAUCUUGACGGUACCUAAUCAGAAAGCCACGGCUAACUACGUG
RNAcentral lists this ribosomal RNA (497 nucleotides) under uncultured bacterium. Its description in RNAcentral is "partial 16S ribosomal RNA". It matches the Rfam family "Bacterial small subunit ribosomal RNA", at positions 28 to 507 of the family's 1533-position model. The record is from RNAcentral.